Molecule: ribosomal RNA, 484 nt
Filed under: Penaeus indicus
Lineage: Eukaryota; Metazoa; Arthropoda; Malacostraca; Decapoda; Penaeidae
Description: partial large subunit ribosomal RNA
Rfam family: Bacterial large subunit ribosomal RNA
Source: RNAcentral
CAUGUCUAUAUGGUUGUUAUAUAAAGUCUAGCCUGCCCACUGAUUUAGUUUAAAGGGCCGCGGUAUAUUGACCGUGCGAAGGUAGCAUAAUCAUUAGUCUUUUAAUUGAAGGCUUGUAUGAAUGGUUGGACAAAAAGUAAGCUGUCUCAAUUAUAAUAAUUGAAUUUAACUUUUAAGUGAAAAGGCUUAAAUAAAUUAAGGGGACGAUAAGACCCUAUAAAGCUUGACAAUAAUUUAAUUAUACUAUCAAUUGUUAGUAUAACUUGGUUUUAAUUAAUAUUUGUUGCGUUGGGGCGACGAGAAUAUAAUAGGUAACUGUUCUUAAAUAUUUAAUAACAAAUAUAAUUGGAAAUUAGUAUGAUCCUUUAUUAGCGAUUAAAAGAUUAAGUUACUUUAGGGAUAACAGCGUAAUCUUCUUUGAGAGUCCCUAUCGACAAGAAGGUUUGCGACCUCGAUGUUGAAUUAAGGUAUCCUUAUGAUGCAG